CGGGCACAUAUGAACAUGGGACCAACACAGAUGCCUUCAGCUGCCAAGUGCACAUGUAACAGGUCAGCCAGUGUCAUAGGUACAAAACUGCUGACAGAUGUCCUUUAAACGUACAUUUAUAAUAUACAACACAAUCCAGGCUUUGUAUCUGGAAACUGCAGCAGUAAUGCAUUCUAUAAUACUGUUUAUAUUGACUGAAAAAAGAAGUUCUAUGUUUUUAUGUUGUGUGUUUUUUUUUUUUGUUUUUUUUUAUCCACCCCUCCCCCCUAAGCCACACACAUAAAUUUUUGAGUUGUACUUGAAUGUGUUAUGUCUCAUGAAGAAACUUUUCUCCCUGUCUAAAACAUAUAGACAUCAUAGAGAGGGGUCUCUGCUCACAUAAGAAAACUGCAGUCGUGGCCCGUCCACGUAUUACAUUGAUAGCGAUUUAUCCGAUUGGCCGUUGUGCAAUACUAUAGGUAUAUCAGUAGUAUUAUAAUAUACUGGACUUGUUGUAUUUUAUUUCUUAAAGCCGUUUCGCUAGUCCUCCGACUUCUUAACGGCUUGUACGAGAAAUCUCCGGCAUUAAAUACUGGUGCUGUUCUAACCUCUCUCCAGAGACAGUUUAAUCACACCUAAUGCUUCAGUCAUGCAAUUAACAUCUUACCUCCGUGACUGAAGCUUGAGUCGCCAGUAUUUAAUGCCGGAGAUUUCUUGUACAAGCCGUUCUAAUUAAGAAAGCCAGUCAGAUGACUAGCAAAACAUCUUCAAGAGAAAAUACAAGAAGUCCAGUUGCUCCGACUUAUUGCUGCUGAUAUACCAUGACCUGGAUGAAUGAGAACCUUCACAGACAUAAUACUAACAGGAUUUAUGCUGAUUCCAUUGCGUUGAAAGGAAUGCGCCUGAAUCCUCGCCAUGUAUCUAUCCUCUUGUGGCGGCUGACGUCUUUUUUAUGUAUUUUGUGUACUUUGUUCUGUAUUGCUGUCCUUGUCACUUUAAUUUGCUGUCGUCUGUACAUCGAGUAGUCACAGUUUUGGUUCCUGCGAUCCGUGGUCUGUAAGCGGUACGCCGACUACAUCACUAUUACGGACCUCAUACAUGUGAGAUUUUAAAGCCACUGGACUGAUCCUUUUGCACAAUGAUUUUAAUGUAUGUGAUGUUUCUGUUCGUUUCUUGAUCUGUCUAAGGAGGUAAAUGUGACUUUUAUUAAAUAAAAACCGGAAGGAUUGGGUGAGGGAG
Molecule: long non-coding RNA, 1218 nt
Organism: Bufo bufo (common toad)
Lineage: Eukaryota; Metazoa; Chordata; Amphibia; Anura; Bufonidae
Exons: 2
Source: RefSeq, a predicted model, not a curated record